This is a long non-coding RNA of Meleagris gallopavo (turkey), 717 nucleotides long. RefSeq lists it as uncharacterized. The record is from RefSeq and is a predicted model, not a curated record. NCBI's taxonomy places the organism in Eukaryota, Metazoa, Chordata, Aves, Galliformes, Phasianidae.
AACCUGACCUCUGCAGCUUUCUGCGCCCAGUGGUCAUGCCGUCCCUGUCUCACUCCAACCAUUUCUGACAGGAGACAUGCUGAUCUCAACAGCGAGUCCUGGCACCUGAGACACACUGGGAUUACACAGAAAACUAAUACAACCCUAAACAGGAAAAUUCAUCACAGCAAUGACAAGUCCACAGACUCAGGUCUGAAGAAACAUGGAGAUAUUUCAAAUCAUAAAUCAGAGUAUGCAAGCAUGCAGCAGCUCCACAGUCCCAAAUCUAUGUUCAGGGAGACGACAGCCAACAGAAGUCCCAAGCAAGUUUGUCCAUGCAGAGACUUUACUACCUUUCACCUGUUUGAGGCCUCCACGUACAAGGACUCCAAAUCACUUCUGGGAUUAUGAAUUUUAGUCUCUUAAUCCAGCAAUGAGGAAUUGGCUAGUCUUCGUACUUCAUUUUGCUUAUAAACUUACUUAUGAUUCACUACUAGUGCUAAGUGGCAAAAUGCCUAUUUUUUUUAAUGCGCAUACAAACUGCAGGACUUCAGAACAGUUUAAGCUUAUAAUAGAAGCAAAAGACAUUUGAGAGAAAACCAAAGUAUAAGUGCACAUUUUGUGGAAGUAUCACUGAACUUUACCUGAGUGUACAAUCAAUAAAUAUACAGAUGGUAUAGUGUACAAUCAAUGAAUAUACAGAUGGUAUAGUAUUUCCAGGAGCUUGGCUGACGUAAU